Molecule: ribosomal RNA, 222 nt
Filed under: uncultured bacterium
Lineage: Bacteria
Description: partial 16S ribosomal RNA
Rfam family: Bacterial small subunit ribosomal RNA
Source: RNAcentral
GACGAACGCUGGCGGCGUGCCUAAGGCAUGCAAGUCGAACGAGAUCCAUCUGUGCUUGCACAGGGAAGAUCUAGUGGCGAACGGGUGAGGAACACGUGAGAAACCUGCCCUCGAGAGGGGAAUAACAACGGGAAACCGUUGCUAAUGCCUCAUAUUGUUAACUGAUCGCAUGGUUUGUUAAUGAAAUGAAUUUCGCUCGAGGAUGGUCUCGCUUCUUACAGC